Molecule: small RNA, 212 nt
Filed under: Cervus elaphus hippelaphus
Lineage: Eukaryota; Metazoa; Chordata; Mammalia; Artiodactyla; Cervidae
Source: RNAcentral
GCGAGCUGGUAUGUGCCCGUAGUCCCAGCUUCGCGGGGUGCUGAGGCAGGAGAAUCACCCGAGCCCAGUUCUGGGCCGUAGCGCACUAUGCCGAUUGUGCGUCUGCACAGAGUUUGGCAUCAGCAUGGUGACCUCUGGGAGUGCGGGACUACCGAGUUGCCUAAGGAGGGGUGAAAUGGCGCAGCUCAGAACUCCUGUGCUGAUGAGGAGCG